Molecule: transfer RNA, 69 nt
Filed under: Ictidomys tridecemlineatus (thirteen-lined ground squirrel)
Lineage: Eukaryota; Metazoa; Chordata; Mammalia; Rodentia; Sciuridae
Description: Spermophilus tridecemlineatus (thirteen-lined ground squirrel) tRNA
Rfam family: tRNA
About the family: Transfer RNA (tRNA) molecules are approximately 80 nucleotides in length. Their secondary structure includes four short double-helical elements and three loops (D, anti-codon, and T loops).
Source: Rfam by way of RNAcentral
GGGAGUGUGGCUUAAUAGUAGAGCACUUGCCUCGAAUGUAGGAAGCACUGGGUUCCAACCUCAGCACCA